CCCAUGCCGAACUCAGAAGUGAAACGCCGUAGCGCCGAUGGUAGUGUGGGGUCUCCCCAUGCGAGAGUAGGGAACUGCCAGGCAU
RNAcentral lists this ribosomal RNA (85 nucleotides) under Escherichia coli O10:K5(L):H4 str. ATCC 23506. Lineage: Bacteria; Pseudomonadati; Pseudomonadota; Gammaproteobacteria; Enterobacterales; Enterobacteriaceae. The record is from RNAcentral.